UAUUAUAUAAUGAUGUGUUUGGCGUUUAGUGUUUAAAACUAGUUUGGUAUAUAAUACAACCCUAUAUAUAUAUAUAUAUAUAUAUAUGGUGUCAAUUUUAUUGGCACAAAUUCAAGAAAUCGAACAACUUAAGGGUAAUUCUAGACUUUUUGUUCGAUUUUACUUGUAGUCGGUUACCAUUCAUCCUCUAAUUGUGAGGAAAAAUCUUACCAUCAUAUUCCAUCUAUUAGUAUUAUAAUUUUGAGAUGAUACAACUGAUCUCUAACAUGAAAUAAUACUAUUAGAAGGAGCAAAAUUGCAAGUGAUCAUCACAAAAAUGGGAACAAAGAUUGUUGAGAGAUGAGAUGUGGUGAGGGGCAGCCCUUUAGUUCAUCCCAGAGACUAUCUUUUCUGGUUUCGUCGCCCUCGACUCAUCCUCUCACGCAUUCACUUCGUUCUUUUUGAGAAUGCCAUUUCAGAUUGCCUCAAACUCAUCAAACAAAAAAAAUGUCUGUGCUCAUUUUUAUUUCCAACAUUUAUUCACAAAUAGUUAAAUUGUGUCAUGACUUUGUUUUUUCUGCUAAAAUUUGAUAUCCAGGAUUAAACUGUGUUUCGAUUGAGAAACAUGUUUUGAGUUAUAUUGGGAAUGGAGUUGACUUUGUAGUAGGGAAUUUGUUUAUGCUUUGCAGAUAGGCAAUUCUCUGGUGUUUGGUCCGGUUUUAAUGUUGAAGGGGUGAAUCUGACUAGGUGAAGAUCGAAGAAUUGUGCGCAGAGUCAGGGCUUUCUUUGGGCAAGAGUAGGUGAAGAUCUUUAGUCAACAAUGAAAAGAAGUGGAGAAUAGACUAGUGAGUAUGAACUAAUAUGAAGUGUAAAACAAUAUGUUGGUCUCUUAACAGAAAAUAACUACCAUCUUCAGUUACAUUGCCUAUCUGCUUUGCAGAUAGGCAAUGUUUGGUCCGGUUUUAAUGUUGAAGGGGUGAAUCUGACUAGUACAACCAAUGAAGGAGGAUAUCGAAGAAUUGUGCGCAGAGUCAGGGCUUUGGGCAACAGUAGGUGAAGAUCUUUAGUCAACAAUUCCAACAAAUGAAAACAAGUGGAGAAUAGACUAGUAUGAACUAAUAUGAAGUGUAAAACAAUAUGUUUUGUUUUAUGCAAGUUUAAUUUUGUUA
This is a long non-coding RNA of Salvia splendens (bonfire salvia), 1148 nucleotides long. RefSeq lists it as uncharacterized. The transcript has 2 exons. The record is from RefSeq and is a predicted model, not a curated record. Lineage: Eukaryota; Viridiplantae; Streptophyta; Magnoliopsida; Lamiales; Lamiaceae.